CUUGCCCUUGACCAUCCCAGUCCCGUUCUCAUAAUCUCAGCAUCUUUAUUCACCGCGGUGGUAUCUGUUACUGUGUUCUUGCUGAUAGCCGGAUGGACACGCGGCAAUGGCAAAUUGGUGCGCAUUGGUGUGUCGCUGGCCCAACUCGAAUUCUAUUUGAUGAUGGUCUUGUUUGUACUUGCGAUGAGGUGCAUUGGUGAUCGGUGAGAGCAAGAGGAAGCGGGGUCAGCGUUUGCACAGUAGAUUUUCUUUACUUCGGUCUUCUGUUUUU
This 271-nucleotide long non-coding RNA is filed under the name Eucalyptus grandis. RNAcentral describes it as "long non-coding RNA (EGRA_LNC004272)". The record is from RNAcentral. Lineage: Eukaryota; Viridiplantae; Streptophyta; Magnoliopsida; Myrtales; Myrtaceae.